UAUUUAUUUAUUUAUUUUAUGCUGUUAUGCUUAGAAGUAGACUUUUUUUCUUCUGUUAUACCUCAUUCACAAUUAUAUUUUUGUUUUUAUAAAGCAUUUUGUUUUGUUGUCUUGUUUGAUUAAUUUAUGCAUUUUUAUAAAGCAUGUUAUAUUGAUUAUAAUGAAUUCAUAUUUAAUUCACUAUUCUAUUUUUUAUUUGUAUAAAAUUUAUUUAAAACAUAUAUUUACUGAUACAAACAUAUACCACUCUAAUUUUUUUUUGAAAUAUGCCACUCUCCUGCUCUUUGUGACUUAGCCCGUCUUUAUUUUAUUUUUUUUAAAAAACAACCACUAAGGAUUAUUUUUAUAUUUAUUAUUAUUAUUUUUUAAGGCUUCCAAAAUGAAAGCACGACGCCGUUUUCCCGCUCUGUUACCCAUCGUCCUCCCUCUCUCGUUGAUCGUCACUGAGAAUCAUCUUCCGACGAUUGAAUGUCGCUCAACAACGUCUAGAUCUAGGGACCGGCGAUGUACGACGGAUCGUUGAUUAUUUUAGGAAUCGACAGCUUCUUAGAUCCGAAUUUCACAGUUUCCAAACCUCAGAUGUGUGGUAUCAAAUUAUAAUCUGAGCCCUUUGCUCGGUAUUCUUUGGUUCCACGAAGCUUUUAAAGCACUGAGAUCCAGAUGAUACUCUAUCAUGGCUUCGUUUCUUGACCUGCAAUUGCCGCUCAAUCUCUGUUCGGAGCAAGCCACUCAAUGUCUGUUCUUCUCAGUCUCAGAAGUCAUGAUCCACAAUAGAAGUGUAUAGAGUACUUAAAUUAGAUUUGAUCUGUAAAUUUAUUUGUUUGAUUUUAUCUCAAUAGAAGUGUUAGUUGUUAAAGUACCAGUUUGGGGCUGGGAUUGGUUCACCUAACCUACUCCGAGCGGUUGGUGUGGUCAGGCAAGCGAAACUCCUGCAAUACUAUGUUGAUUUGCGCAGGGAGGGUUUCACUUCUCAGCGAUCUAAAAAAUGUAGUUUUAGAAUGGAAAAAGGGAGAGCUUGAACUUCACCUGCCAUUUCAGUAGAGUCUAAUGAAGUAAAUAUCUACAGUUCAUGAAACUUUCAGUUCCACAACAUACAUCGAUCUAACUGUCUUCACAGCUGGUAUAAUCACAGUAAUAUGGGUAGAAUCUUGUAAGCGCUCAUCCUAUGUUCCUCCACUCAAAUGCCACAUCACAUAAAUGGGUCUUUGGAGCUAUGGCGGCGUUGCUUGAUAAUGCAGUCAAUGAGGUACCAAAUGGGGCUACUUUUGUUGUUACAGACAAGAUUACCAAUCCACGGGAUGGGAAUCCAGCUUUGCUCAUUCAAGAUGGUGGUAGUGGAAUGGAUCUGGAAGUGCUAAGGUUUUGUUUGAGCUUGGAUUUUCAGACAAGAAAUUAAUAUCCACCAUUGGACAGUUAAGUCAAAGUGUCUGACUCCUCUCUUAUACGUUGUUGAGACAAACAGGCCAUGGCAGAAUAGUUGUACCAAUGGUGGAUUAUGAGUUCAUGCAUCAACUCGAAAGUUGGAGCCCUUGCUUCCUAAUGGUAAAGAAAAAAAUUUAUCUAACCUAUCAGUUCUUUUGCAGUGGUCUCUUUUGACAUAAUAAAAAUAAUAGUAACAUUUCUGUUUCAAGCUUCUCAUUUGCAUUCUGCUUUUGCUUUAUAAUUGAGAUAUUAUGGAAUAUUUUUGCCUCCUUGCUUAACAACAGGUAAAAGAGAAGGAAAAAAAUUUACGCUCCCAAAAAAUAAAAUAUGCUUAUCUAGUUUUUUACAAUUUUAUUUGUAUAGUUAGGCAGAGAAUAAUGGGGCUUUAUGGAUGUUUGGUGGGAAUAAAUUGCUUAGUAAUGUUUUGGUAACAUUUGAUGUGUUGUUAUAUGGACACAACACUCCAUUCACUAUAGUUAAACUGUUAAAUGAAAAUAAAGUCAUUUAUUUGUGGAGGAAAAGAAAAAAAAAGAAAACAAAGUCAUAUAUUUAUGAAGAAAAGUAAAAAAGAAAGCAAAGUAAUUAAUUGAAAUCCCCAAAACAGUUGAGAUAUUUCUCAUAAUUGAUUAGCAUUGUAUUAUACCACAAAAUUGAAUGGGUGGACCAAUGUUCAAACACGGUAUAAAACCACUCAAAAAAGUACAAGAAUAUUAGAAUAAAGAGGCAUAUAUUUCUCAAGAAACAUUGGGAAAAUAACUUAAGCAUGUUGCGAAAGAUUUGUGCGUACUAAACAAUGACAUCAAUGAUAAUUAUUCAAUUCUCAAGUUGUGAAUUUGGAGUUCUCAGAGUUUCUCCUAUCACAUCUUUGUUGCAAAAGCCUCAGAGAAGAUAAGGAGUUAGUGAGUUACUCUCCAAAUUAAAUGCUCCAACAGUUUGUUGAUUCUAAGAGAUCUGCUUGUGGGAAAGAUUCUUAUAGAAGCCAAUCAAAAGUUGCUCAAGAGGGGUAAAAAAUGCUGAAGCCUACAAGAGACUUGGUAAGGGUGCAUAUGGGUGGGGUUUAACGAGGAAUCUGGGGCUACGGUUUUGGGACAAAGAAGGGAUUGGGAAAUCCAAAUUACAAGGUCCUCAGUUGGAUAACUUGGGAAUUGAACUUAUAAAUUCAUCAUCACCGUCCUUGCCUUUGUCCCAUAUGGAUGGGGUCAGCCACAUGAAUUCUCUUUUUCCACUCUUUUGGUCCAUCCUAUUAUAGACUAUGUCUGCUCUUAAUUUAGAUUUUAAAAAUCGUUUUUAAAUACUUUUCCCACGUAAGCUUUGGUCUGCCUCUUUGUCGCUUACCCUCUAGACAAACAACUCUACCUCUUUUAACAUGUGCAUCAUCAGGUCUGUGUUGAAUAUGACCAUACCACUUAAGUCUACUUUUGCUAAUUUUAUCAUUUAUAGGCGCUAUACCUAAUGUUCCCCUAACACGUUCAUUAUUUAUCUUUUCUGUUUUAGUAACUCCUAUCAUCCAACGUAAGAUCCCAUUUCCACUAAUGAAUGCAUUGUAUUUGUGUCUUUUUCAACGCCUAACACCCCACUCCAUACAAUAUUGCUGGCCUAGUAACCGUUCUAUAGAAUUUUUUUUAAAGUUUAUUUGGUAUUCGUUUGUCACAGAGGAUACCAUUUUCACCUUAUCAAUUCCUUCACCACUAUUGUAACCAUCUUAUAGGAUUAACAUCAUUGCCAUUGUUGCCAACCCCACCAAAACCUCACAAAAUUAUCUUUACAGUUCUAUGAAUUGAAUAUAACUGAUGUUGAUUGUUAUUAAAAUUUCAAUCCGUAGGGUUUUUGUGAGCUCUGAAGAGACCUUCCACUACAACAAAAUCGGCUUUUAACAACACAUUUUCUACAAGGGGCGUGCAUAGCCCUUGUAGAAAGUACUUUCUACAACAGGCCGUGUAAGCCCUCGUAGAAAAGUAGUUUUCAACAACAGGCCCAGAUAGCCCAUUGUAGAAGGGACUUUCUACAACAGGCCCGCAUGGCCACUUAUAUAAUAGGGUUUCUUUUUCUGAAAAGUUAAUUUUGGCGGCUUGAUGAAAAAAGGCGGCUUUUUUUUCAUCAAGCUCUAGCAGCGCGCAAAAAAGGUAGCAUUCCUAUACCUCCCAAAUUCGUACACAUCAAUCCAUCAACCAAAAUCCACACGAAACCCUAAUCCUCUAAGCCCAAAUUUUGCGAGUUUCACCUUCAGAGGAAAAUAACCCAGGUACGUGCGUGUAUAUAUAUAUAUAUAUGGUUCAUCUCUGUUCUUCUUUGAACCCUCAUCUCUGUUCUUCUCCUCUCUUCCUUCUCUGAGCUCUAACACAGGUUCCCCGUGAGCGCAAAUUGAUCUUUUGAUCAAAUUCACUAUCCAAUCCCUAAUCAAAAACAAAAAAAUUCACUAUCCUUCUUCCCACUAAUCUCUCCUCAGUUUUCGCCUCUUUUUAUCUCAAAAACCCUAGAUUUAUCUUUCUUUGAUGUGCCCUCAUCUAACAAGUUUGGUGCAAAAUCGGCCGGUCUGUUAACCCGAGCCCCAAGAGGCACCUAUUGGUCUCGUUAGGUCUGAGGCUUUUCAUCUGAAUCUGCCCGGGUAGUCAGCCAAACCAAUCAACAACACCUUGAACCAUCAACAUCAUCCACUUAGCUUACCUUGCUGAUCCGUGUUCAAAUGCUAUCUCGUGAGGCGAAAGGAUGGGAUUGGGGCUCAUAAACCAUAUUAUUCUUGUUCAGACUCCCUAAGAUAAGCGCGCAACGAAGAAGCGAAGUGUUUAAAAGGAUCACAGUCAUCACAGAACCUGUUAUUUUCUCCAUCAACAAUAGAUUGAAGCCCUUAAAUCUCUUCCACUGGUGCCUUGAUUGCUGUGUCAAGGCAUGCAAGUGCAACUCCUUUGCGACCUUCUAUUCUCAGUCACGGUGUUGGUUGGCAGGGAGUGGGCAUAUUGUUCUCUGGAAUAUUUGGAACCGGGAAUGGAUCCUUAGUAUCAGUUGAAAAUGCUGGUUUGUUAGCAUUGACACGUGUUGGCAGCCAAAGAGUUGUGCACAUAUCUGCUGGUUUCAUGAAUUUCUUUUCCAUACUUGGGAAAUUCGGAGCUGUCUUUGCCUCAAUCCCAGCACCAAUCAUUGGAGCUCUGUAUUGCCUUUUCUUCGCCUAUGUGGGAAAAUGAGACUAAUGAAAUCAAAAAGGGAACUAACACCUCCUUCCCUGCAGGUGCAGAGUGUUUCCAGGUACUUAAUAUCAUUAAUUCCUUUAGAACUUGGAAUCAAUGUCGUAACUAUGGUAAUAAGGCUCACACCAUCCCACAUAUAGGAUCAACACUAUCACAUAAUGUGAUAUCAUAAAUUAACAACUUAUUAUAUAACUUUGCCUUCUUCAUAAGUAGGCUCAAAUCCUGGUAAAAUUAAGCUAACAUAUGAUAGACAUGGGGUUAAGCCUUUGUAUUGAUUGGCAUAGAGUCCGGCAUAACCUUUGGCAUGAGAUUUGUGCUCUUAAAUUAAUAACAAGUUGUUUAUACUUGAGGAACAUGAGACUGGAGAAAUUCAGGAGGGAAUCAAAAGCUCAUUUACUGCAGAGUUGUUUCAGAGAAUGAGACUGAAGAACUCCGAAAGGGAAUCAAAAGCUCCUUCCCUGUAGAAUUGUGCUUUCACAAGAACAUUUUUACCCUGCAUUCUACUCCCUCUGUUCGUCCAGAGCACCAGAGAAUUUCCACUGUGGACUAAUUGGUUAUCAGCAAGUGAAGAAAGCUUCUCCUGUUUCAGUGCCUUCCCAGAAACCACUUCUUUCAAGAGCCCAUAGUCGUGUAGAGCAACCCGUGCUACUGAAUCAUGGUUCAUUGAUAAUUGGAUAAUCCAUGACCAGUUUCUCCUGAAAUUGGAUCCUUCGAAUAUGAUGUGGCCACUCCACACGUCUCUGCUAGAAUAUUGACAGCCAUUAUCUUGGUACAGAGAACUGUGGACUGAAACUUGGAAAAUGCCUUAUUGAUCCAUAUUAGACUUGCAAUUUACAAGCCGGACUAAAUAUGAGGAAGGAAGGAACAAGCUUCUGCAAUGGAAUUUGAACAUGCAAAAUGGCCCACAGAUUCAGGGUGUUUGCAACUGAUGCCCUUCUCUACAUUGGAGUCGAUCAGGUUUGUUAAAAUAUGCCUAUCAAAAUUUUAAUAGACUACGGGAAUGUCAUGUAAUGUUUGACGAAAGAAAUAUAUGUAUUGAAACAAAGGGAAAUGUUUUGAUCUGCUUACACUUCUAGUCUUUUUAAUUACAUCUCACAGAAUUAUGCAUUUGUUUGCUGCGAUUGCCAUUAGAAAAUGCAUGUUCAACAGUUAUAUCAGUAUUUGUAUCAUAUGCUUAUUGGAGAGUUGAUUUUGGUUCUAUUGUAGGUUUAAAAUGUUUAUGAGAACCAGAUAUAAACUUUUUGCCUUUUUAUUCUUUAUUUGUGUGGCUUUCAUUUGUAAUCUAUGGUUAACCUCCUCCUUUGUGCCCCUUGGGAUGUCCCUAGUAAUAUUUUAUGGUGUACAAGAUAUAUUAGUACCUUGUUUCUCAAAUAUGUCUAUUCCUUUUUCUUUCAACAUGUACUUCUGCAAGCGCAGGAAAUGAUAUAUAUAUUUUUAUCUUUAAGAACAUCUGGCUGGAGAAACUCUGUGCAUCAACGCUACCCUUAUCUCUUUAGUAGUCGGUAUACACGUUGAAAGAGGAGUCAGUAUACAAGAAAAUGAGAAACCCCAUUCACAGUAGGUACAGCACGGGUUUACUUUAUAUGUUUAUGAAGCUUGCACUAGCUCAGGCUUGGCUACUCUCGUCACUUUUUUUCUUACUAUUGCCACAUUAACACUGAGAACAGGCGGCCUCAUUAUAUUACAGGAUCCGUUUAGUUGAUUGACAAUGCCGUGUGGCAAAAAGUUGAGGUAAAGGGAAGCAAUAAUUGAAGAUCUAGGUCCCAAGUGUAUGACCUCCACCGCCAAGCUUGCCCUGACUUGCACCACUACAUCACCCAAAGUACAAAAUUGAAUAACCCAACUUGCUUGUUCUUUCUGAAUCAAAUUCAAACUGCACAGUCUAGGGUUUGCCUCUUUAGUUAGCACCGGAUAUGUUUGAAGAAGACGAAGACAACAUUAGUCUAGGGUUCUCUAGACUAAAAUUGUCCUUUUUCUUCUUUUGGGCCUUGAUGGGCUGGUCUGCACUGUUUGUAAGACAUGUUGUCUUCAGUUUCCUUUUUUUUUUUGGGUGUUGUCUUCAGUUUCCUUUUUUUUGGGUUUGGCUUCUUAGCCUUGUACAUUCUUACUUCAUUUAUACAAAAAAAAAAAAAAAAAAAAAAAAAAAUAGUUU
Long non-coding RNA from Cornus florida, 6756 nucleotides. RefSeq lists it as uncharacterized. NCBI's taxonomy places the organism in Eukaryota, Viridiplantae, Streptophyta, Magnoliopsida, Cornales, Cornaceae. The record is from RefSeq and is a predicted model, not a curated record. The transcript has 15 exons.